AUUUUAAUGUUCGUUUCAAAGAUGUAGGUAGCAAUUAGGGAAGCAAUGGUAAUGUAUCAUUGAAUCGUCAAUGUGAAUUAUCAUCGCCGCAGCAUCGUUAUGAUUUGAGUAUGGGUUCAGAUAAAUUAUCUUCACUAUCACGAUCUGAGGGAAGAUACAUAUCCGAUGAAUGGACAUUCAACGUUAGAUUCGCGAGACGGCAACGAAUCAACAAAGAGAAAAUUGAGACGCAACAGUUUUUUUGCUAUCAAAUCACUGAAUGAAAUAAAUAAAUAAAAACAUCGAAAUUGUUUUUCUUUUUAGUUAUCGCCAAACGAAAGAUCAUACUUCAUGGCAAGAGAAAUAUUGAUGACUGAAUGAACCUAUAAAAAGGAUUUGGACAUUUUGAAUACAUGGUUCUAAAAUGAAUUGCCACCCGAGAAUGUAGAAUCUAUUAAGCCACUAUUCCAGUGUAUCAAAUCGAUGGCUCAGCGUCAUGUUCUCGGAUGUACUUUUAUACGGUAGCAAAUCGCCAGUCACUCAACAAUUCAAAAUUCUUGGCCAUGUUCAAUUACGUUUACCGAUUACUGAAAAUGCAGAACACAACACAUUCAUCUUUUAUGGUGGACAAAAGUCAAUAACCUCGAGCGCUGGAACGACUGCUGAAAAAAACAUUGUGGUUGGCUAAAAGCAUCGACUGAAAUCUAAUCAAAGCCACACGUUCAACUCAAUUGCAGUUCAUCUGAACAAGGAUUGGAAUCAUGUGGUGCACUAUUAUUAAAUAAAUCUCCGACCGAAACAUCAACAGCAGCAGUAAUCCAAUUCAUAUGUGUUGGCAUCGUGGAGCAACGGUUGGCUUGAAAGAUUUCCUCAUUUCAUUGGAGAGUUUAAUUUUUGAAGCACAAUGAUUUUGUCUAUGUGAAACGAAAAUAACUUACGAUGUGUUAAUACGAACGAUGGAAACGGUGAGCAGCGACUCGAUAAUUAGUUCAACGCAUGGCGAUGUUCUGAAAGAUCUACACGAUAAAUUGAUGGAACGAAGACAAGUGUUCUUGGAACGUUCGACUGAACUGUCCCGCAAACAGGCGUGGUAUCGUUCUGUGGCGUUGGGUAAAUUUUGGCGAAAUUUGUUGUGUUGGAUGUUGAACGCCG
Long non-coding RNA from Contarinia nasturtii (swede midge), 1131 nucleotides. RefSeq lists it as uncharacterized. NCBI's taxonomy places the organism in Eukaryota, Metazoa, Arthropoda, Insecta, Diptera, Cecidomyiidae. The record is from RefSeq and is a predicted model, not a curated record. The transcript has 4 exons.